This 368-nucleotide ribosomal RNA is filed under the name uncultured bacterium. RNAcentral's name for it is "bacterial SSU rRNA". It matches the Rfam family "Bacterial small subunit ribosomal RNA", at positions 369 to 758 of the family's 1533-position model. The record is from RNAcentral.
CAGUGGGCGAAGCCUGUCCGCCUGCCGCGUGAGUGAUGAAGGCCUUCGGGUUGUAAAGCUCUUUUGGCGGGGACGAUGAUGACGGUACCCGCAGAAUAAGCCCCGGCUAACUUCGUGCCAGCAGCCGCGGUAAGACGAAGGGGGCUAACGUUGUUCGGAAUUACUGGGCGUAAAGCGAGUGUAGGUGGUUGUCCAAGUUGGAUGUGAAAGCCUUGAGCUCAACUCAAGAAAUGCAUUCAGGACUGGAUGGCUAGAGGACCGGAGAGGAUAGUGGAAUUCCCAGUGUAGUGGUGAAAUACGUAGAGAUUGGGAAGAACACCAGUGGCGAAGGCGGCUAUCUGGACGGUUUCUGACACUAAGACUCGAAA